Non-coding RNA from Phalacrocorax carbo (great cormorant), 2770 nucleotides. Lineage: Eukaryota; Metazoa; Chordata; Aves; Suliformes; Phalacrocoracidae. The record is from RefSeq and is a predicted model, not a curated record.
UCCACCUUCAUAAAUGCAAUUUUAGAGCAUUUCUGAGAUAUUCUGGUGCAGUGAAAAGAAGAGGAGAUUGCAGCUGGAGAGAAGGAAAUCCCAGAGGGAUGUCACCCUUGAGGGACAGCGAUCUCUGCUCUCCACCAGCUGCCAGCACUGCUGAUCCGCAUGGACUGGGCCGGGCAAUAGCUUGUUCUUCAUACAAGUCAGAAGAGCAGGGAAACCUUAUCGUCAGUGAAGAAGCAUGGUUUACUCUCCUGCUUUUGCUUGGCUGGCCAACAGGUGAAUUCAGAGUGAACAGAUCAGCUCAGGAAUAAGAAGGACCUAAAGUGAGCAAAAUAAAGAUAUGUCCUCCAGCACCUGCACAUUCUGCUGGAAACCAUUCGGAUGGCAGCUUGGGCCCUUCAACUCAGCAGGAGCAUAAAACCGGCCAUCACCAGUGGAGAACUGCUUUUCCUCAUGAGGAAUCUGCUGCAUAAAGACCAAGGUUUGUACCUGAUGAGAAAGGAAAGACCCAAGAGAUGGCAAAGACCUCCUUCUGUUUCUUCUGCCUGGUUUUUUGGUCUUGUUUGAAAGAAGAUUUCUUGGGCAGAUGUUAUUUGUUUUGCAGCCAUGUUCUUAAAACAUACAAGAAAUACACAAUGAAGACCAGCAGUGGAAAAAAAAGAAUACAGAAUGCACUUGAAUAUACAACUUAUUAUUUUUAAAUGCUUUUCCAAAAGGGUUGUGCUUUUAAUAAUAGUCUGCUUUUGUAAAGCAUCUCUCAGAUGCGGACUUCAAAAACGUGGUAGACAAAUUGUCUCAACAUGUCUUUGGGAUAGGUAAGUACUAUUAAUCCCUUCUUAGAGAGGAAAAAAGCUGAACAUCAGAGAGCCGAGAACACUGUUUUCCAGCUUUGGUGUUACAAAAGGACUGUCAGUGCUAAGAGUAUUGUAUUAAAUUCCGGUCCCUAAGUCCAAUUUCGUCUUUUGCCUUUCCAGCAUGAGGUUUGGUAUAACUUCGUCUUUUCUGGUCCUGGGCUAUAAAAUGGGCUAAGGAAAGAAUGGGUGUGAGAUAUGGCUGGUCUUUCCAAAGAUGUACAACAUGUAUCUGAAGUUAUUUGUAAGCUCCUACGUUAAACAUUGUAUAAAUAUGUCAGAAUGUAUGCAGCCUUUCUUAAAGUUCCUCACUACCACCAUGUUUCUUGUUUAAGUUUACAGAGUAUGGGCAAACUUCCCAAGAACAUAUGGGCUAUUAAUGUUAGCAGGGUUUUUAAGUAUCACAGGCGUACUAGAUAUUGAUUGCUGGGCACGUUCAGCCAGCACAUUCAUCCGGGUUUUCCAACAGAUAAUUUAGAAACACAAGGGACUAAUAUAAAGUUAAGUGCAUGAUGAAGAGAAACCACAGCAGUCUAUGGAGGCUAAAGGUCUAAAAGCAAUUUUCAGUCGUGCUAAAUCUUAGUCCUUAUCUAAAAUUGCCUAUAUUAAUAAUUAUUUUAUUUGCCCACACUUCACUCUUCUGUAGAGAUGAACAGAGAAGCUGGGCAACAGGACACAGUAGUUUUGAAGUGUUCAUUCUCCAAUUCUGGAUGUCUGCAAAAGAAACUCAACGUAUUGCAAGCUAGUGGAAGGAGUUGCCUUGUCUUCAGGAGCUGUCAAAGAAGCUCUUAUGGAGGCAAAGAAAGGAUAAGUUGAUUUUGAGUGUGUAGUCUCUUCUAUGACUAGUUUAGGUCUCUAGCACUUUUUAGGAGCUGUGUAGUUCCUUCCACAGUAUGCUACAGCAAAGGCACCAGAAAUAUGAAGGCAAUCCAUUAGCUCAUUAAUACCACCAGGAGAAAAAAAAGAAUUAGCAAACUCUGUGAUGGGCAGCCACAGCCAAACCAAAUACCACCUCUGUGGAAUUAGAUGUGCUGCAAACACCAACAGCCUGUGAUAAUAUGACCUUUAAAAAAAUAUGUUUUCAUAAAUGGAAAAAUGAACUAAAGAGGCUGCUGGUGAAACUUUCAAGAAACGCAACUGCUCAAUUAUACAUUAACAUCGCACAAGCUUUGCCAGACAAGACAGGAGGCAAUGCUGAUUGGGGCUACGCAUUUUCCUUUUUAUAUAAACCUGUAGAAAAGCUAGUAGCCGUGGGGAAUGCCCACUGUAGGACACAAUAAAUUGAUAUUUCUGGUGCUUGUCAAAAUUGCUUUUUACAGUAUUACAUUGUCUUUGGUGCGAGCCCCAACUGUUAGAAGCCGGUCCAGUUGCAGCGCCAGUGUUUACCACCACAGGGUGCAGGAACGAGUGGAAAAGCCCAACAAGGGAAAUGGAGCUGUGCCUAUGGAAAAUAGGCAGCAGGAGGGGAGAGAAGACCACCAGCCUUUGCUGUGGAGAGUGUUAUAUUAUCUUGACUCGACAUGUUGAUGUUAAGAGGCUGAAAUCCCUCCUGCUGCAGCUUGCCUCUGUGUUAUCUUUCACUGGAUCACUUCUUUCACCCUGUGGGCUGUGAGGCUGCAGGAAUACUUGAGUUGACACCAGCAAAAGGGUGGGUGAAAGGCAGGAAUGUGUGGUGGCCACUGGGCUGGGGAGGGGACCAUUGGUGCAUCCUGGCUUAAAAUCUCUCUGAAAUCCUGGCCUCACUGUGAGUGUUUCUUCCUGAAGCAUCUCCUUGUUUGCAGCCAAAUAUUUGGUGUGUGUCCAUCAAUGGAGAUACUUGAUGCAAUUGUCUAAAUGAGUUAGAUGUGUGUAAUCCCUGACUGGCUCUUGACCGAGAGCAGAUGUGACAGUGAUUAGCCACUUUGGGACAGCUUCUUCUCUAG